Molecule: ribosomal RNA, 235 nt
Filed under: Faecalibaculum rodentium
Lineage: Bacteria; Bacillati; Bacillota; Erysipelotrichia; Erysipelotrichales; Erysipelotrichaceae
Description: partial 23S ribosomal RNA
Rfam family: Bacterial large subunit ribosomal RNA
Source: RNAcentral
GGGAUGGACCUGCCGCUGGUGCACCAGUUAUCAUGCCAAUGGUAGAGCUGGGUAGCCAAGCAGGGAACGGAUAAGAGCUGAAAGCAUCUAAGCACGAAGCCGGACCCAAGACGAGAUCUCCCAUUCUAAAAGAGAAGUAAGACCCCUUGAAGACUACGAGGUGGAUAGACCAGGGAUGGAAGUGCAGAGAUGCAUGGAGUUGACUGGCACUAAUCGGUCGAGGACUUGAUCUAAA